This 674-nucleotide ribosomal RNA is filed under the name Vairimorpha ceranae. RNAcentral's name for it is "SSU rRNA". It matches the Rfam family "Microsporidia small subunit ribosomal RNA", at positions 357 to 1067 of the family's 1311-position model. Lineage: Eukaryota; Fungi; Microsporidia; Nosematidae. The record is from RNAcentral.
GUAUAUGAGGUGAUUAAUUGGAGGGCAAAUCAAGUGCCAGCAGCCGCGGUAAUACUUGUUCCAAGAGUGUGUAUGAUGAUUGAUGCAGUUAAAAAGUCCGUAGUUUAUUUUUUUAAGAAGCAAUAUGAGGUGUACUGUAUAGUUGGGAGAAAGAUGAAAUGUGACGACCCUGACUGGACGAACAGAAGCGAAAGCUGUACACUUGUAUGUAUUUUUUGAACAAGGACGUAAGCUGGAGGAACGAAGAUGAUUAGAUACCAUUGUAGUUCCAGCAGUAAACCAUGCCGACGAUGUGAUAUCGAAAUGUUAAUUUGUAUUACAUAAUAGAAAUUUGAGUUUUUUAGCUCUGGGGAUAGUAUGAUCGCAAGAUUGAAAAUUAAAGAAAUUGACGGAAGAAUACCACAAGGAGUGGAUUGUGCGGCUUAAUUUGACUCAACGCGAGGUAACUUACCAAUAUUUUAUUAUUUUGAGAGAACGGUUUUUUGUUUGAGAAUGAUAAUAGUGGUGCAUGGCCGUUUUCAAUGGAUGCUGUGAAGUUUUGAUUAAUUUCAACAAGACGUGAGACCCUUAUUUUUUAUUAGAGACAGACACAAUCAGUGUAGGAAGGAAAGGAUUAAAACAGGUCCGUUAUGCCCUCUGACAUUUUGGGCUGCACGCGCAAUACAAUAGAUAUA